UGGCCGAAAGAGUUAUAAUGAAAAUAUAUUCUCUAGGACUAAACUAACAGGCGCCACCAGGACAGCCCAGGCGGGAGGCCUUCGUGGCACUAGAUGGCUCCGAGAGCCCCCUACAGGCGGGAGGACCUGAAAGGAAAGUACUUCCGCUCAGAUGGGCGGGGCUAGGGAGGUGGGGCGGAAGUGACUAUGACUCUCCGGGGCUGGCAAAGGCGGGUUUCGCUAAUUGGUUGGGGUGUAGUGGACUUUUCCGGUUUUUGGAAAAGUGAUUUUAAUAAAGGCUCGGGAACUCUGUUCUUUCACCAUGCACAGAGGAUAUCGUUUAAAACAUAUUGUUUUGGGAGUCUCGUUUUCUUGCUAGAAAUAGAGGUUUCUCUUGGAGUUUUAGCUUGGUGCCAUAGCUACAGCAUCUGACUAGGGCGCACUCUGGAGCAAAGAGAUGGUGAUUGCAGCCAUGAAAUUAAAAGACACUUGCUCCUUGGAAGGAAAGUUAUGACCAACCUAGACAACAUGUUAAAAAGCAGAGACAUUGCUUUGUCAACAAAGGUCCAUCUGGUGAAGGUUGUGGUUUUUCUUGUGGUCAUGUAUGGAUGUGAGAGUUGGACUGUGAAGAAAGCUGAGUGCCGAAGAAUUGAUGCUUUUGAACUGUGGUGUUGGAGAAGACUCUUGAGAGUCCCUUGGACUGCAAGAAGAUCCAACUAGUUCAUUCUAAAGGAGAUCAGUCCUGGGUGUUCAUUGGAAGGACUGAUGUUGAAGCUGAAACUCCAAUACUUUGGCCACCUGAUGUGAAGAGAUGACUCAUUGGAAAAGACCCUGAUGCUGGGAAAGAUUGAGGGCAGGAGGAGAAGGGGAUGACAGAGGAUGAGAUGGUUGGAUGGCAUCACCGACUCAAUGGACAUGAGUUUGGGUAAACUCUGGGAAUUGGUGAUGGACAGGGAGGCCUGGUGUGCUGCGGUUCAUGGGGUUGCAAAGAGUUGGAAACAACUGAGCCACUGAACUGAACUGAACUGAACUGAACUGAAAAGGAUUAAGUGAGAAAGCUUUAGGUGCCUGAUAAACAGAACUCAGUAAAUAUUGGUUAUUGAAAAUAACCAAUUAUUGAAAAUAAUUGAAAAUUAUUGUUCAGUUAAAGGCUCAUAGGUAAUAGAUGCUAAAGAAUCUACUUGCAAUGCAGAUAGAUCCCUGGGUUGGGAAGAUCCCCUGGAGAAGGGAAUGACUACCCAUUUCCCUCUCCAGUAUUUUUGCCUGGAGAAUUCCAUGGACAGAAGAUCCUGGUGGGCUACAGUCCAUAGGGCUGCAAAGAGUAGGACAUGACUAAGAGACUAACACUUUCCCUUUUCAGGUAAUGGAAGCUAGGGGUGGUGAAUAACAUGUAGUUAAGGUACCAAAAAGUUAACCAACUCUAGUUAGUAAAGUUUUUCUGGGAGAAUCUUAUGUCAACAGAAAGAUGACAUAAGUCUAGGAUAACAGUACACAAAAUAUAAGGAUAAACCUGGCAAUGACCAGAGGAGAGGCUAUUUGUGUUCAAGGACUAUAACUAAUUUUUCAAAGAGAAACAUUCCUAGAAUAGGGAAGCAAUUUCCACUAUCCUAUUUUGAAAGAAAAGUCCAUCAAUAGGACCCAUUCUCUUUCUUCUAAUUGUCAUAAACCCUUGAGCAAGGGUUUGGACUGCAGGGAUCUACUUAUACAUAUUUUUUUCCAAUAAAUACACACACUAUUACAUAACCCAGGUUGGUUGAACCCCUGGAUGUGGAACUGCAGAUUGGGAAGACCAACUGUUGAACCUGAGCAUCCAUUGAUUUUAGUAUCUGCAUAGAGUUCAGGAACCAAUACCCCAAGGAAACCAAGGAUCAACUGUAUAUGCUCAUCAAACAACUCUCUAAUUGAUCAUUUCCUCUCCUGAGUCCACUUAACCUACUAUGGUGAAAUACCCAGAGUGAAUUGUCCAUACAAGUUCUUUCUAGAUUUAGCUUUUUAUAUAUUGAUAAAUGACAUUCUGAGGGGCAUGCUAAUUUCUUAUGAGUAUUCUUAACAUGUUGAUGCCCAAAAGUUUAAUUUGUUCUAAGUAAGUAAGUGAAAGUCACUCAGUCAUGUCCAACUCUUUGCUACCCCAAGGACUAUAUAGUCCAUAGAAUUCUCCAGGCCAGAAUACUGGAGUGGGUAGUCUCUCCCUUCUCCAGGGGAUCUUCCCAACCCAGGGAUCAAACCCAGGUCUUCCACAUUGCAGGUGGAUUCUUUACCAGCUGAGCCACAAGGGAAGCCCUAAUUUGUUCCGGUGGAAAUGAUAAACUUGAGUCUCCAAACCUACAAAACUAAAAAUCUGGCUUUGAAUAUUGCAUUAGAGUCCUGUAUGCUUGCAAGUAACAAAAAUAAAAAUAAAAUGGCUUAAAUAACAAAAAAAAAGGAGGGAGUUAAUGUUAUAAAGAGAAGGUAUUUGAUGGGAUAGGAAGGCAAGAAUACAGCACAGAUUCAGAAAGAAACUAAAGGAAGUCAUCUUACAUCUAAGCAGCAUGCUUUCUCCUCUCUUGCUGCUGACUCUGCUUACACAUAAUUUUCUAUUUGUAGACCUCUUUCCCCUGCUAUUUAGUUCGCAGGACAGACAGAAGCAGUUACCAUCAUUAGACCUGAGCAAUAAGGACCAUUAAUCAAGCCCUGCUUCUCUGGGGGACAGGUGUGGGAGACACUUUGGAGAGCCUCCAAAUGUUCCAAGUCCUCUGUGGUGUCUGGGACCAUUGGGCAGAGUCUGAGAAGCAGAACC
Molecule: long non-coding RNA, 2755 nt
Organism: Dama dama (fallow deer)
Lineage: Eukaryota; Metazoa; Chordata; Mammalia; Artiodactyla; Cervidae
Exons: 3
Source: RefSeq, a predicted model, not a curated record